AAGAAAGUUACUUAAGGGCGUAUGGAGGAUGCCUUGGCUCUUAUAGGCGACGAAGGACGUGAUAGGCUGCGAUAAGCCUCGGGGAGGUGCCUAAUAACCUUUGAUCCGAGCGAUUUCCGAAUGGGGAAACCCGGUACUUUGAAGAAGUAUCACACUGCAGCAAUGCAGGGAGCAAACCCGGAGAACUGAAACAUCUAAGUACCCGGAGGAAGAGAAAACAAAUAGUGAUUCCCCAAGUAGUGGCGAGCGAACGGGGAACAGCCCAAAUUCAGGCAGUUAAGGCUGCCUGAAGGUUGUAGGACUGCAAUGUGGACUGUAAAUGGAAAGUGGAAGUUUCUGGAAAGAAACACCAUAGGGGGUGAUAGUCCCGUACACGAAUUUCAUUUGCUACCUAGCAGUAUCCUGAGUAACGCGGGGUUGGAGACGCCCUGCGUGAAUUUGCCGGCACCAUCCGGUAAGGCUAAACACUCAUAAGAGACCGAUAGCGAACAAGUACUGUGAAGGAAAGGCGAAAAGAACCUCGAACAGAGGAGUGAAAUAGAACCUGAAACCAUACGCCUACAAGCAGUUGGAGUCCCGAUUUAUCGGGAUGACAGCGUGCCUUUUGCAUAAUGAGCCUACGAGUUACUCAUCACUAGCAAGGUUAAUCCUGUAAACAGGAGUAGCCGGAGCGAAAGCAAGUCUUAACUGGGCGUACAGUUAGUGGUGGUAGACGCGAAACCUUGUGAUCUACCCAUGGUCAGGAUGAAGUUCCGGUAACACGGGAUGGAGGUCCGAACUGGUGAACGUUGAAAAGUUCUCGGAUGAACUGUGGGUAGGGGUGAAAGGCUAAUCAAACUGGGAGAUAGCUCGUACUCCCCGAAAUGUUUUUAGGAACAGCCUCAAUUGAAUUGUCGUAGAGGUAGAGCUACUGAUUGGGCUAGGGGGCUUCAUCGCCUACCGAACCUUGACAAACUCCGAAUGCUACGACAUGUGAUUGGGAGUGAGUCUCUGGGCGCCAAGGUCCUGGGACGAGAGGCAAACAAACCAGAUCAUCAGCUAAGGUCCCAAAAUGUAUGUUAAGUUGCAUCUAACGAGGUUCGACUGCACUGACAGCCAGGAUGUUUGCUUGGAAGCAGCCAUUCAUUUAAAGAGUGCGUAACAGCUCACUGGUCGAGCGGUUGGGCGUGGAAGAUAAACGGGCAUUAAACAUACUACCGAAGCUAUGGACUAUGCAGCAAUGCAUUAGUGGUAGGGGAGCAUUCCAGCAACGUAGAAGGUAUACUGUAAGGUAUGCUGGAGUUUCUGGAAAAGAAAAUGUAGGCAUAAGUAACGAUAAUGCAUGUGAGAAACAUGCACACCGAUAGACUAAGGUUUCCUGAACAACGUUAAUCGGUUCAGGGUUAGUCGGGGCCUAAGGCGAAUCCGAAUGGAGUAGUCGAUGGACAACUGGUUAAUAUUCCAGUACCGGCUUUAUUGCGAUGGGAUGACGGAGUAGUGAAAGGUCUGCCUCCUGACGGAAUUGGAGGUUGAAAGGCAAAGGUAUACGGGCAGUAGUUAAGUACGCUGCCUGUGCUGAAGCCCGAUAGUACCGCGAGUUUUCGGAUGAGCGGAUAAUGACCCUAAUCAGACUUCCGAGAAAAACCCCUAAGCUUCAGAUAAAAGCCGCCCGUACCGCAAACCGACACAGGUAGUCAAGGAGAAUAUCCUGAGGUGCUCGAGUGAGCCGCGGUUAAGGAACUAGGCAAGAUAACCCUGUAACUUCGGGAGAAAGGGUCCCCCGAGCAAUCGGGGGCGCAGUUAAAUGCAUCUAGCGACUGUUUAACAAAAACACAGGGCUCUGCAAAAUCGAAAGAUGAAGUAUAGGGCCUGACACCUGCCCGGUGCCGGAAGGUUAAGAGGAGAAGUCAUCCGCAAGGAAAAGCUUUGAAUCGAAGCCCCGGUAAACGGCGGCCGUAACUAUAACGGUCCUAAGGUAGCGAAAUUCCUUGUCGGGUAAGUUCCGACCUGCACGAAUGGUGUAACGACUGGAUGGCUGUCUCGACCGCGAGCUCGGUGAAAUUGUGAUAUCGGUGAAGACGCCGAUUACCUGCAACGGGACGGAAAGACCCCGUGCACCUUUACUAUAACUUAACAUUGUCUUUGGGUGAAUGAUAUGUAGCAUAGGUGGGAGACUUUGAAGCUGCGGCGCUAGCCGUGGUGGAGUCAACAGUGAAAUACCACUUUUCGUUCUUUUGAAGUCUAAUCCGCCUUACCGGCGGAGACAGUGUUUGGCGGGUAGUUUGACUGGGGUGGUCGCCUCCAAAAAAGUAUCGGAGGCUUUCAAAGGUACCCUCAGUACGCUUGGUAACCGUACGUGGAGCGCAAUAGCAUAAGGGUGCUUGACUGUGAGGCAUACAAGCCGAGCAGGGCCGAAAGGCGGAUAUAGUGAUCCGGUGGUUCCGCAUGGAAGGGCCAUCGCUCAAAGGAUAAAAGGUACGCCGGGGAUAACAGGCUGAUCCUCCCCAAGAGCUCAUAUCGACGGGGGGGUUUGGCACCUCGAUGUCGGCUCGUCACAUCCUGGGGCUGAAGAAGGUCCCAAGGGUUGGGCUGUUCGCCCAUUAAAGUGGCACGCGAGCUGGGUUCAGAACGUCGUGAGACAGUUCGGUCCCUAUCUGUUGCGGGCGUUAGAAAUUUGCGGGGAGCUGACUCUAGUACGAGAGGACCGAGUUGGACGAACCUCUAGUGUAUCUGCUGUGGCGCCAGCUGCAUCGCAGAGUAGCUAUGUCCGGAAGGGAUAAGCGCUGAAAGCAUCUAAGCGCGAAGCCCACCUCAAGAUAAGAUUUCUUUUAAGGGUCGUUAUAGAUGAUGACGUUGAUAGGCUACAGGUGUAAAGCCAGCAAUGGCAAAGCCGAGUAGUACUAAUAACCCGUAGACUUUUUAC
RNAcentral lists this ribosomal RNA (2902 nucleotides) under Bacteroidia bacterium. RNAcentral describes it as "23S ribosomal RNA". It matches the Rfam family "Bacterial large subunit ribosomal RNA". The record is from RNAcentral. Lineage: Bacteria; Pseudomonadati; Bacteroidota; Bacteroidia.